This is a long non-coding RNA of Passer domesticus (house sparrow), 4366 nucleotides long. RefSeq lists it as uncharacterized. NCBI's taxonomy places the organism in Eukaryota, Metazoa, Chordata, Aves, Passeriformes, Passeridae. The record is from RefSeq and is a predicted model, not a curated record. The transcript has 5 exons.
UAGGGACAGCCUAUUCUUCUCCAGGACCUGAACAAUGAAGGUCUCAAACAAAGGCAGCUCCCACAGCUGGGGAAAGGAUGCUGGAGGUCAGGGCUCCUCCCUUAACCCCUGCUGAGUCAGAGCAGCAGCCUAUCUGCACCUCAGCCAGACUCCGGAAAAUCAUUGAACCACGUAAACCACAGCACCGUGGAGACACUGAAAGGAGCUAAUGCUCAGUUCAUACAAACCACGUGGUUAUUGAAACUCAGGAUGAAAAAGAAAUCAAUGACAGAGCCAGACAGAAGACACAGUAACAAGUACUCAGAGGCUCAUGGAGAUGCUACAAGCUGUUGACUGAAUUUCAGGCCAGUUUAGACAUCACUCCUUCUGCCUUUCCAGAGCCCAUCAAUGUCUCAUUCUAGCUUCCAAGAGCCUGGACCCACCGGAAAAGAAAUUGGCCUCAACUUAGUGCAGAGGCUUGGACAUUGUGAAACCCAAAUGAAUGGGCAGCAGAAGCAGGAGCCUGGAGAGGGAUCAGCAAAAGGAACCUCAUGCUCCUAUUAAGUGACAUUUUUACAGAGGAAUCACAGGAUAGAAAGUUUGUAAAAAGCCAAUGAUCCAGAAAGAAACUUCAGCAUCCAACUGGUAUCCUUUAGUUUGUAUCCACCAGUUUAUAUUGGGACUCUCUGCUUUUUCAAGAGCUCCUUGCCUGUCCCAGUGAAGAUCAAGAGGUUUCAGAGCUGGUGGUGAGCACAGAGGCUUUGCAACUGGGAUUUUUGACCUGUUUCAGGUAGUGCAACACAGGUUCAUUCAUUCUCAGCUGGAAAGACUGAAUCAACAUAUAGCUGAGAGAGUAGCAGAACACCACUAUUAUUACUUUAUUAUUCCCCACCCAGAAGUGAAUGGGAAAUAAUAAAUUUAAAUAUUUGGAUGAAACUGUCCAAAGAAAAUUCAGGUCAUGAGAAAAUAAAUGUUUCUCAAUGAUGUAGUUUAUGAGACUACAAAGUAAUCACAGAAGUGAAAUAUGGGAACCCCAAAUUUGAGACAUCCAGAAACCAUCUGACCACUUUCUUCCCCCUCCUAGUUUUCCCAGUGCUCUGACUGCACAGUUAGUUCUGCAAGGCCAGGUUUGGUUUCAGAGUGAUUAAUGAUUACCCGCAGCAACAUUUUUUUUUCAAUCCCUUCUGGAGAUCAGGGGAGGAGGAAAAAAAAAUGCAGCUCUGCCUCAUGAUUCCUGCUCUCAGCAGGGCUGGACUCUUGGAAUACCACUGGGAGCUGCAGGUGUAGCAAAAUCACCAGGAGAGGAUUUGCUCCAUCUCCCAACUCUCCUGCUCAUCCCUUCCAAGCUGACCUUCCUUUACUUUCCUGUUAUUUACAUGAAUGAGCUCCUCCCCAAAGAGUUUGCUGAGUGAUAAGAGCUCAGAUCAUCCAUUACCCACCUUGUGCUGGGUGGCUGCUGUGGUUGGAAGGAGAUUUGCAUGUGGUCAGACACACAGCCCUGCAAUCACAGCCUCCCUGAAUUGCACAUUAGCAUGAAUCAAAGCCUGGCUGCAGAGAUGUUGCCUUUCUAUUUUGUCCCUAUAAUGGUUUCUGUUCUGCCUGCUGCUGCUGAAAAAAUCCUUGCUUUGGAAUCAAAUUGAACCUGAAAGUGUUAUUGGGCUUCACCACAAACGAGUCAGUUUUAGGCAGCAGAUCCAGUUCCCAGUGGAACAGCCUUGCCCUUGCUGAGUUAAGCUCCCUGUGCCAGUGUUUCCUGUUUUCUCAUGGUCUUUGGAACUUUAUAUUUAAGUCAUAUAAAAGCAUUAAAUCAGAAUUUAGGUACACUAAGAAACAUUGAAAUGAUAAAUUGCCUAAUCCUAAUAAAUGCACAGAAAUAAAUAGGUAUGGAAUACUGAAAAGGUACCUCUAGAGUUUGUCCUCAGAGUAGUACAGACAGUGUAAAAGACAUGAUUAUACAUUCUUGUGCCAAGAAGUGAGACCAUGUGAUGCCUAGACAUUAUCUCAUUAGCAUCCUGUUCAUUCUCAAAUCUAAAUCCAGAUAACAAUUGUUUAACUUUAAUUUUGUGUGUGCACAUAUAAUUUGUUCAUUGUCCACCUUUAUGUGAAGCCAAGACAUUCAAGGCUGCUGCAAACACAUGAAUUUCAUUCCUGCAGCAGAUGAGCAAAUUCUACAGGUCCUUUCUGUGGGUUCAAAAAGUGCCUUUGAAAAAGUGUGUUUAAAUUACUCUCUUUGCACCCAAGGAAAUGAAUGAAUUUGUGCUGACCAUACCACUUACAGGUCACUAAAAUAUGUACCAUGACCUAAACCCCCUUACUUCCUUCUCUCUCAGGGCAAAUACAUUAGGAGCAUUUCAUGUGAGAUGCUGCUAUAGUUGGAGAAAGGAAAGACAAUCUGAUAAAAAUCACACCAGACACUCUGGGGGAAGAGGAAAAACAUCCUGUCUCAAAAUUUGAUUCCACUCAUGUUGCCCUCCAAAUGCUGGAGAAGUCACUGAGGUGCUGCACUUGGUUCAUAUCUGAAUGGAAUGCUGAGGUUACCUCCAACACCUCAGAAUUUUUUUUUUUUUAACAGCUUACAAAUCAUUUAUGGAAUUACAAACAAGAGGUUCUCUGGUUACAAAGGGGUGGCAUUAGCCCUGGAAAAUCAGAGUUUCUCCCAGGACAUUACUCAGUGGAUCAUGUAACCAUCUUUCAAAGGGAGAGACUGAAACACCAGCACCACUGCAGAGCAAGGCUGUGGGGGCAAAGAUAACUUUUAUAGCACUGUGCUGGUGUUCCUACCUUGCUGCUGAUACUCAAAUGUGGCAUUUUAACAUUGUAUCUCCCAUUACCCCAAUUUUAAUGCAGCUCAGGGGAGUUUUGUGUUAGAUUUUAAGUCUGACUGAUGAGGGAAUUGAUGUUGGGCUUCUGUAAGAAAUUUGUCUUGUAACAGUACAAAAUGUUGAUGAAGUAACUAAAACAAUACAAAACCACUGUGAAACAUAUUAAAUGGAUUAAGAAUUGGCUAACUUCAGGUUUUAAAUAUUAUAACCAGAGAAAUUUUCUUAGAGUGGGUGUGUGUUUGGACAGAUCCCGUAGGGACUAUUUCUUGGCUCUAUACUACUGUAUUUUAUCAACAGCUUAGGAAAAAACCCUUUAAAUCAUUAUCAACAAAUUUUUGAGAUGAAAAAGGCUGGGAAAAUGGUCAAAAGAAGGAACCCAGGUCACUGAUACUACUGGGUAAUUGGCAAUCUGAAGGUAAGCAAGUACAACCAAGUUAAGUCACAACAUUGGAGAAAGAAGAUAUUUGCCUGGUGGGGGCUGCAGUGGUUCUACACUGGAAAGUCAUGACCAAAAAAGGGUUGCAAGUAAUGGUGAGUAAUCAGCUGUCCAUGAACUGACCUAAUAUUUGUAUGUAUAAGCAGAGGAAAUCCAGGGUGAUAAUGUUCUCUGGGUAUUCCCCAUCUCCUGAAACUGCUGCCAACCCAUUGUGCCCUGCUCUUGCAUCCACAAAGCAACUGGGAGGCUGAGAAGCUGGAGACAAUUCAAGAAAGAGGCACAAGAAUGUACACAAGUCUGUGAAAGAUGACUUGCAGGGAGAGAUUUAAGGAGCUGGGUCCAUUUAGCUCAUCAAAAGAAAGCUAAAGGAUGGCUGGACACCAAUCCAAGAACCUCCAGGGAGGAAUUCAGAAUCAGUUGUCUUUUGUCUUGCUAACAGGAAUGUCCCAUGCCACCAGCCUUGCUCUGAGUUCCCACACCAGGUGCACACCUUGGCCAUGUCCUGCCACCUUAGCAGGGGGACACGCUGACCUUUCUCUCAAAGAGGAGUCCAGGUGCCUGCUCCAAACAGAGCUUGGCACACUCUGACAGGUCCCUCAGCUGGUUCAGGGACCAGGAGCCUGUUGCACACCAGAUUUUCAGUGUGAAUGUGGCCAAAGAAUUUGGGGCUGGGAUCCUUCAUCUCUGUUUUCAUUCUGUGGUUUUUGUCUCUGUUCUGAUCCUGGGGCCAAAGAACUGUUGCAUUGCUUGAGAGAUGUGAAUCUGGUGGCACAGGCUGGUCUCAGGACAAGCACUCCCAAAGCUCUCAUCUGAUCUCUCAAGCGAGAAGCUAAACCAGAAGACAGAGAUCGCAGACUCAGGCAGAGAAGUGCUGUGCCUUUUCCCCCAAAAUCCAGGAAGGAUUAUUGCACUCACCAUCUUGAGCACGAGAAAAGGGAAAAGGCUGGAGAGCAGCAACACUUCAGAACACUGUGCAUGAGAAAGACAUUAAAAAUAAGUUAUUUACUGAGCCCAUAUCUCGGCAGCAUUUAUUUCUCUCGUCCUACCUGCCCCUUUUGGAGACCUCUUAUCCCAUCACUUCAAAGGCCAGUAGCCAAACACGACAGUUACACAAAGGUCAGACGGGUGG